CCUACGGGCUGCUGUCGUGGGGAAUAUUGGACAAUGGGCGAAAGCCUGAUCCAGCCAUGCCGCGUGUGUGAAGAAGGCCUUCGGGUUGUAAAGCACUUUCAGUGGGGAAGAAAGCCUUGGGGCUAAUACCCUCGAGGAAGGACAUCACCCACAGAAGAAGCACCGGCUAACUCCGUGCCAGCAGCCGCGGUAAUACGGAGGGUGCGGGCGUUAAUCGGAAUUACUGGGCGUAAAGCGCGCGUAGGCGGUCUGAUAAGCCGGUUGUGAAAGCCCCGGGCUCAACCUGGGAACGGCAUCCGGAACUGUCAGGCUAGAGUGCAGGAGAGGAAGGUAGAAUUCCCGGUGUAGCGGUGAAAUGCGUAGAGAUCGGGAGGAAUACCAGUGGCGAAGGCGGCCUUCUGGACUGACACUGACGCUGAGGUGCGAAAGCGUGGGUAGCAAACAGGAUUAGAUACCCCAGUAGUC
RNAcentral lists this ribosomal RNA (465 nucleotides) under Vreelandella stevensii. Its description in RNAcentral is "partial 16S ribosomal RNA". It matches the Rfam family "Bacterial small subunit ribosomal RNA", at positions 338 to 795 of the family's 1533-position model. The record is from RNAcentral. Lineage: Bacteria; Pseudomonadati; Pseudomonadota; Gammaproteobacteria; Oceanospirillales; Halomonadaceae.